UACGUAGGGGGCGAGCGUUGUCCGGAAUUAUUGGGCGUAAAGAGCGUGUAGGCGGUUCGGUAAGUCUGCCGUGAAAACCUGGGGCUCAACCCCGGGCGUGCGGUGGAUACUGCCGGGCUAGAGGGUGGUAGAGGCGAGUGGAAUUCCCGGUGUAGCGGUGGAAUGCGUAGAGAUCCGGAAGAACACCGGUGGCGAAGGCGGCCUGCUGGGCAGUAGCUGACGCUGAUGCGCGACAGCGUGGGGAGCAAACAGG
RNAcentral lists this ribosomal RNA (253 nucleotides) under uncultured bacterium. Its description in RNAcentral is "partial 16S ribosomal RNA". It matches the Rfam family "Bacterial small subunit ribosomal RNA", at positions 524 to 776 of the family's 1533-position model. The record is from RNAcentral.